Molecule: ribosomal RNA, 460 nt
Filed under: uncultured bacterium
Lineage: Bacteria
Description: partial 16S ribosomal RNA
Rfam family: Bacterial small subunit ribosomal RNA
Source: RNAcentral
CCUACGGGAGGCAGCAGUGAGGAAUAUUGGUCACUGGGCGCGAGCCUGAACCAGCCAAGUAGCGUGAAGGAAGACUGCCCUACGGGUUGUAAACUUCUUUUAUAAAGGAAUAAAAGGAGACACGUGUGCCUGUUUGAAUGUACUUUAUGAAUAAGGAUCGGCUAACUACGUGCCAGCAGCCGCGGUAAUACGGAGGAUCCGAUCGUUAUACGGAUUUAUUGGGUUCAAAGGGAGCGUAGAGGUGUUGAUAAGUUAGUGGUGAAAGAUUGCGGCUCAACCGUAAAAUUGCAUUUGUUACUGGCAGUCUUGAGUGCAGUUGAGGUAGGCGGAAUUCAUGGUGUAGCGGUGAAAUGCUUAGAUAUCACGAAGAACUCCGAUUGCGAAGGCAGCUUACUAAACUGCCACUGACAUUGAUGCACGAAAGUGUGGGUAGCAAACAGGAUUAGAUACCCCAGUAGUC